GGAAAGGACAGUUCUGCAUCAGCUACUUGUGUUCUGACUACUAUAAAUAUGUAUCAACCACAGAACUGACACUUACUAGCAGUUCCCACUCACUACCAGUCAGUUGACUCACUGUACAAGACCUCUCCUCUUCACUUCACUCUAUGCAUGGACUGCAUGAUGUAAUCAUCCUGGCCUGGAGGCAGGAAGGGACAAAAUGCACAACGGACUGCAGGGUGGGAGAUGCAACAAUGGCCUUGAGAACAGCAGGAAGUGUGUUGGUGGUCUUUCUCUGGUCUGUAGCAGUGGUACUGGGUCAGUAUGGCUGGAGUGUGACUUACACCACUCAGAGUAUCUGUGUCUUGGAGGGGUCAACAGUGGAGCUGUCCUGCUCUAUCAGAUAUCCCAGUGGUACAGUCACAUCAACCGUCUGGUUCACUAAAUGGGGGACUGGUGUAGAACCUGAAGAUCUAGGUCAGGACCCAGAGUAUGCAGGUCGUCUGGAGUAUCAUGGGGAUAAGAAGAAUGGUCACAACCUGAGAAUCACAGACCUGAGAGAGAAAGACUCAGCUACGUACAAGUUCAGAUUUAUAACAGAUCAGACUGGAGGGAAAUAUACUGGUGAUCCUGGAGUCACUCUGUCUGUCACAGUGUCCAUCCUGACCCUAACGGUGACACACACACACCAGUGAAAAUGAGGACCAGACAUUCUGGCUAGUGUGAGGUGCUCGCCCAGUGACACGUUCACUGCUCUUCAGAGAGACGCUCAGCCCUCCAUGUAUCAGACCAUCCAGGGGAGAAAACCACCACAGAACCUGGACUGAUAGAACCACCACAGAACCUGCACUGAAGAGAACCACCACAGAACUUGGACUGAAGACAACCACCACAGAACCUGGACUGAUAGAACCACAACAGAACCUGCACUGAAGAGAACCACCACAGAACCUGGACUGAAGAGAACCACCACAGAACCUGGACUGAUAGAACCACCACAGAACCUGG
This is a non-coding RNA of Salmo salar (Atlantic salmon), 984 nucleotides long. The record is from RefSeq and is a predicted model, not a curated record. NCBI's taxonomy places the organism in Eukaryota, Metazoa, Chordata, Actinopteri, Salmoniformes, Salmonidae.